AGAAUUAGCUAGGCGUGGUGGCAGGUGCCUGUAAUCCCAGCUACUCAGGAGGCUGAGGCAGGAGAAUCGCUUGAACCUGGGAGGCAGAGGUUGCCGUGAGCUGAGAUCGCGCCAUUGCACUCCAGCCUGGGCGACAAGAGCAAAACUCCGUCUCAGAAAAAAAAAAAAAAAAGAGUUGAUGUGUUGAAAGACAGAGAAGCGAAGACAGAGACGUGGAAAGACAGGGAGAGAGACACGGAGAGAGACGCAGAAGGACAGAGACGUGGAGAGAGACGCAGAGAGACAGAGACGUGGAGAGACACAGAGAGACGUGGAGAGACACAGAGAGACUUGGAGAGAGACAAAGCAAGACAGGACGGGAGAACAAGGACAAGCUCAGGUAAGCCUCAGCCGGUGCUGCAGGCAGUCUGACUCGCA
This 417-nucleotide long non-coding RNA is filed under the name Homo sapiens (human). Its description in RNAcentral is "non-protein coding lnc-DOCK6-1:2". Lineage: Eukaryota; Metazoa; Chordata; Mammalia; Primates; Hominidae. The record is from RNAcentral.